Thunnus maccoyii (southern bluefin tuna) is the source of this 1239-nucleotide long non-coding RNA. RefSeq lists it as uncharacterized. The transcript has 3 exons. The record is from RefSeq and is a predicted model, not a curated record. Lineage: Eukaryota; Metazoa; Chordata; Actinopteri; Scombriformes; Scombridae.
UUUUCAGUUCAGUAUUUGAUGAAUCCUUUGUUCUAUAUUGUUUAGUUUGUUCUGCUCUUUUCUGUGUUGUUCAGUUUUGCUUUUACCUGCCAGCUUUGUCUUUUGCCUGCACAAGCCUUAAAAUCAAGAAGUUAUUCUUCAGUUCAUACUGCCUGCGUCCUGUAUUUGGGUCCAACUCCUGCUACUCUUCCUGUCACUGGCUUGCCUUUCCCCGAGAGUGAGAGACUACUCUACCAGCCAGAAAACCUUUGCAAAAUUAUAAGGAUGUGCACAAUCUGGCGGUGAGGUAUGCAGUCCCCUUCCCAUCUGAAUGCGUCAGACCUGACCUAACCCACUCCCACCCACCCCUCUGACCCUGUUGAACCCGAUGCUGAACACCAACCAGCUGCAGCAGCAGUCCAACUGUGUCUUUACGUGAUGCAGAAACUGUAAGCAUGGACACAGUCAGAGGACACGUGCCUGUGUCAGGGCAGGUGAUGGCGGUGGCGCACUCGCACCGGAUUCUGUCCCCCAAACCUCAACCUGUUCGCUGGAGGCACCAGGGUCUUCAUCUGCAUCUGAGAAUAACAUUCUUCUUUGUAACAAAGGACAUACUAGUCUUUUUUUUAUUGCAAGUUUGAUUACAAUAAUAUUCAAACUGGGCGACUUACCAAGUUCCAUCUGGGCACAAAGCCACUGAUGGCAGUUUGGCUCAGGAUAGAAGCCAUGCGCUCAUCAAGCGGAGAGGGUGCUGGGGUUACUCUCCUCCUCCAGUAGCUCACACACUAACGCUGUGCGCAGUAAUGCGCUUGUCGGCCUCACGCUUGAAACCGGACUAUGUUUUUAAAAAUCUCCUCCAAUGUCUAUGGCUCAGAACUAACAGUGUUCACUGCUUCGGUUACUUUCUACCAUUCAACUUGAUUCAUUUUGUUGGUGACGCCAGAGCUUAGGCCUCCAAAUAAUACCUGUUUUCUUCUGUCAGUUUGAUCAACCAUUAUUUCAAGUUCAGUUGGUAAAGUUGCACUUCUUCAAUUGCUUCUUACAAGCCUCCGCCAUUUCUCCUUUAAACUAAACUAAAUGCUGGCCCUUUAUAUGCCACCCAGGCAAUUGGAGGUUUGUUGGAAGCCAUUUAUAGAAAAUUGUGCACAUGGUCAGAAGGCUAAUGCAUGUGCACACAAUUUCAGGAUGAUUGUGAUGUAUGAGGAAAAAAUACGUGGAAACAGACAUACAUAGAGUUUUAUAAAUCUGACAAAAAGACUA